GAUGAACGCUAGCUACAGGCUUAACACAUGCAAGUCGAGGGGCAGCAUGGUCUUAGCUUGCUAAGGCCGAUGGCGACCGGCGCACGGGUGAGUAACACGUAUCCAACCUGCCGUCUACUCUUGGACAGCCUUCUGAAAGGAAGAUUAAUACAAGAUGGCAUCAUGAGUCCGCAUGUUCACAUGAUUAAAGGUAUUCCGGUAGACGAUGGGGAUGCGUUCCAUUAGAUAGUAGGCGGGGUAACGGCCCACCUAGUCUUCGAUGGAUAGGGGUUCUGAGAGGAAGGUCCCCCACAGUGGAACUGAGACACGGUCCAAACUCCUACGGGAGGCAGCAGUGAGGAAUAUUGGUCAAUGGGCGCAGGCCUGAACCAGCCAAGUAGCGUGAAGGAUGACUGCCCUAGGGGUUGUAAACUUCUUUUAUAAAGGAAUAAAGUCGGGUAUGGAUACCCGUUUGCAUGUACUUUAUGAAUAAGGAUCGGCUAACUCCGUG
RNAcentral lists this ribosomal RNA (490 nucleotides) under uncultured bacterium. RNAcentral's name for it is "partial 16S ribosomal RNA". It matches the Rfam family "Bacterial small subunit ribosomal RNA", at positions 28 to 507 of the family's 1533-position model. The record is from RNAcentral.